RNAcentral lists this ribosomal RNA (894 nucleotides) under Triticum aestivum (bread wheat). RNAcentral describes it as "partial small subunit ribosomal RNA". Lineage: Eukaryota; Viridiplantae; Streptophyta; Magnoliopsida; Poales; Poaceae. The record is from RNAcentral.
AAUAAUGUUGUGACAAGUGUUCGAACAAGUGAUGUCGACACCGAUGACUUCCCGAUUAAGAUAGGACUGCAUCAGGGGUCAGCUUUGAGCCCUUAUCUUUUUGCAUUGGUGAUGGAUGAGGUCACAAGGGGUAUACAAGGAGAUAUCCCAUGGUGUAUGCUCUUUGCGGAUGAUGUGGUGCUAGUUGAUGAUAGUUGGACGGGGGUAAAUAGGAAGUUAGAGUUAUGGAGACAAACCUUGGAAUCGAAAGGGUUUAGGCUUAGUAGAACUAAAACCGAGUACAUGAUGUGCGGUUUCAGUACUACUAGCUGUGAGGAGGAGGAGGUUAGCCUUGAUGGCCAGGUGGUACCUCGGAAGGACACCUUUCGGUAUUUGGGGUCAAUGUUGCAGGAGGAUGGGGGUAUUGAUGAAGAUGUGAACCAUCGAAUCAAAGCCGGAUGGAUGAAGUGGCGCCAAGCUUCUGGCAUUCUCUGUGACAAGAGAGUGCCACAAAAGCUAAAAGGCAAGUUCUACAGGACGGCGGUUCGACCCGCAAUGUUGUAUGGCGCGGAGUGUUGUCCGACUAAAAGGCGACAUGUUCAACAGUUAGGUGUGGCGGAGAUGCGUAUGUUGAGAUGGAUGUGUGGCCACACGAGGAAGGAUCGAGUCCAGAAUGAUGAUAUACGAGAUAGAGUUGGGGUAGCACCAAUUGAGGAGAAGCUUGUCCAACAUCGUUUGAAAUGGUUUGGGCAUAUUCAGCGCAGGCCUCCAGAAGCUCCAGUGCAUAGUGGACGGCUAAAGCGUGCGGAGAAUGUCAAGAGAGGGCGGGGUCGACCGAUUUUGACAUGGGAGGAGUCCGUUAAGAGAGACCUGAAGGAUUGGAGUACCGACAAAGAGCUAGCUAUGGACAGGGGU